RNAcentral lists this ribosomal RNA (881 nucleotides) under Aspergillus nidulans. Its description in RNAcentral is "LSU rRNA". It matches the Rfam family "Eukaryotic large subunit ribosomal RNA", at positions 35 to 932 of the family's 3401-position model. Lineage: Eukaryota; Fungi; Ascomycota; Eurotiomycetes; Eurotiales; Aspergillaceae. The record is from RNAcentral.
UAAGCAUAUCAAUAAGCGGAGGAAAAGAAACCAACCGGGAUUGCCUCAGUAACGGCGAGUGAAGCGGCAAGAGCUCAAAUUUGAAAGCUGGCCCCUUCGGGGUCCGCGUUGUAAUUUGCAGAGGAUGCUUCGGGUGCGGCCCCUGUCUAAGUGCCCUGGAACGGGCCGUCAGAGAGGGUGAGAAUCCCGUCUUGGGCAGGGUGCCCGUGCCCGUGUGAAGCUCCUUCGACGAGUCGAGUUGUUUGGGAAUGCAGCUCUAAAUGGGUGGUAAAUUUCAUCUAAAGCUAAAUACCGGCCGGAGACCGAUAGCGCACAAGUAGAGUGAUCGAAAGAUGAAAAGCACUUUGAAAAGAGAGUUAAACAGCACGUGAAAUUGUUGAAAGGGAAGCGCUUGCGACCAGACUCGGCCCCGGGGUUCAGCCAGCACUCGUGCUGGUGUACUUCCCCGGGGGCGGGCCAGCGUCGGUUUGGGCGGCCGGUCAAAGGCCCCAGGAAUGUAUCGCCCUCCGGGGUUGUCUUAUAGCCUGGGGUGCAAUGCGGCCAGCCCGGACCGAGGAACGCGCUUCGGCACGGACGCUGGCGUAAUGGUCGCAAACGACCCGUCUUGAAACACGGACCAAGGAGUCUAACAUCUACGCGAGUGUUCGGGUGUCAAACCCGUACGCGCAGUGAAAGCGAACGGAGGUGGGAGCCCCCCCGGGGCGCACCAUCGACCGAUCCUGAUGUCUUCGGAUGGAUUUGAGUAAGAGCGUAGCUGUGGGGACCCGAAAGAUGGUGAACUAUGCCUGAAUAGGGCGAAGCCAGAGGAAACUCUGGUGGAGGCUCGCAGCGGUUCUGACGUGCAAAUCGAUCGUCAAAUUUGGGUAUAGGGGCGAAAGACU